This 469-nucleotide ribosomal RNA is filed under the name uncultured bacterium. RNAcentral describes it as "partial 16S ribosomal RNA". It matches the Rfam family "Bacterial small subunit ribosomal RNA", at positions 28 to 507 of the family's 1533-position model. The record is from RNAcentral.
GACGAACGCUGGCGGCGUGCUUAACACAUGCAAGUCGAACGGAAAGGCCCUGCUUGCGGGGUGCUCGAGUGGCGAAAGGGUGUGUAACACGUGUGUGUUCCGCGCCUUACUUUGGGAUAUGACUGCGAAACUGGGUCUAUUACUGGAUAGGACCACGCUGUCGGCGGUGUGGUGGUAAGAUUAGUUUCGGUGAGGGAUGAGGUCGCGGCCGAUCAGCUGGUUGGUGGGGUGGUGGCGUAUCAAGGCGUCGACGGGUGGCCGGCGUCAGAGGGUGGUGGGCGGCAUUAGGGCUGAUGAGCGACCGACACUACUACGGGGGGCGGCAGUGGGGGAUAUUGCACAAUGGGGGGAGGCAUGCUGCAGCAGCGACGCGGGGGGGAGGACGGCCUUCGGGUUGUAGACUCCUUUCAGCCAUGACGAAGCCCUGGUGGUGACGGUAAUGGUAGAAGAAGCACCGGCUAACUACGUG